UAGCUUUGCAGUCAUGCUGACGAAGGACCGACCUCCUGAUUGCCAUCCUAGACAGUCAUCACUGAUGCUCCAGGGGCCUGGGCUGGACUCCUUGCUGGCUCCACAUAUCACAGCAGAGCACACUGACCCUUUGCUCACAUCUUGAAGACCGGUCUCUCCUCACACCAUCAAAGACGGUACGUUCCCUGGAUCUGCUAGCAACUCUGAUACUACACCUCCAGUGCCGUGCACUGACUUCAGAAGGUAUGGAGGAGUGAGGGGUGACAGCUUUUUGAAACAUUUAAGAGAACUGAACUUGGUGACUAGAUGAAGAACGAGAAUAAUGAGAAGACAAAAG
Molecule: long non-coding RNA, 337 nt
Organism: Erinaceus europaeus (western European hedgehog)
Lineage: Eukaryota; Metazoa; Chordata; Mammalia; Eulipotyphla; Erinaceidae
Exons: 3
Source: RefSeq, a predicted model, not a curated record